Molecule: ribosomal RNA, 321 nt
Filed under: uncultured bacterium
Lineage: Bacteria
Description: bacterial SSU rRNA
Rfam family: Bacterial small subunit ribosomal RNA
Source: RNAcentral
AUUGAACGCUGGCGGCGUGCUUAACACAUGCAAGUCGAUCGGUAACAGGUGUAGCAAUACAUGCUGACGAGAGGCGGACGGGUGAGUAAUGCUUGGGAAUCUGCCUAUUAGUGGGGGACGAACCCGGGAAACGUCGGGCGUAAUACCGCAUACGUUCUACGGAGGAAAGGCCGGGGACCGCAAGGCCUGGCGCUAAUAGAUGAGCCCAAGUCAGAUUAGCUAGUUGGUAGGGUAACGGCCUACCAAGGCGACAAUCCGUAGCUGGUCUGAGAGGACGACCAGCCACACCGGAACUGAGACACGGUCCGGACUCCUACGGGA